GCUGAGGCGCGCGCGCGCACCGGAACGCCGCGGCCGGCGCUCGGUCCAUCCGGCCCGUGGGCUGCGGGGCCCCGGGCAGCGGUGACUGCGGCCGAGCGGGCGGAUGUGUGGCUUAAAUGGCGCAGGCGUUGGGGCCUAGAGGCUGAAGGGCUGGUCGUCCUAAAAACUCGUGGACGUCGCGCACGGUUACCCGGAAGCAGGCCCGCCCCUCCGGGUAACCGCGAGCUUCUCGCGGCUGGAUGGGGACCGUCCUCGCAGUGGCGGCCUCCACACUGGCCUCCCGCUUAGCCGAGGCUUCUGGAAGGCUCGCAAAGUGUCUGUUGAUGGAAGAAGCCGGGCCCUGACUGGCGCGACGGAUUCCCGCAGCCGCUCAGCAGAGCGUCUGUAGGUCGGAAGUGGGGGUUAUAUUGGAAUAUGCUUUUUGUCUGACAUCAAAAAAUUGGAGCGGUUUUCUUAUUCGAGUUCAAAAUGGGUCAUAAAGCAGCGAAGACAACUCAAAACAUCAGUAACACAUUUGGCCCAGGAACUGCUAACAAACAUAUACAGUUCAGUGGUGACUUAAGAAGUUUUGCAAAGGAGAGAGCCUUGAAAAUGAGGAACAUGAUGGCGAGCCAUGGGAAGUUGACAACGACCAAUUGAGAGCAAUCAUAGAACUACAUGAAAAAUCGCAGAAGAACUCAGCGUUUACUCUUCUAGGGUCAUUAGGGUUGUUUGGCAUUUGAAGCAAAUUGGAAAGGUGAAAAAGCUUGAUAAAUGGGUGCCUUAUGAGCUGAGUGAAAAUCAAAACUAUUGUUUUGAAGUGUAGUCUUUUAUCCUGCGCAACAACAGCAGACCAUUUCUCAAUCGGAUUGUGACAUGCAAUGAAAAGUGGAUUUUAUACGACAGCCAGUUCAGUGGUUGGACCAAGAAGCAGCUCCAAAGCAGUUCCCAAAGCCAAACUUGCACCAAAAAAAGGUCAUGGUCACUGUUUGGUGGUCUGCUGCCAGUCUGAUCCACUACAGUUUUCUGAAUCCUGGCGAAACUAUUACAUCUGAGAAGUAUGCUCAGCAAAUUGAUAAGAUGCAUCGAAAACUGCAAUGCCUGCAGCAGCAUUGGUCGACAGAAAGGGCCCAAUUCGACAACACCUGACUGCAUGGCCCACAACCAACGCUUCAAAAGUUGAAGGAAUUGAGCUACGAAGUUUUGCCUCAUCCUUUAUAUUCACCUGACCUUUCGCCAACUGACUACCACUUCUUCUAGCAUCUUGACAACUUUUUGCAGGGAAAACACUUCAGCAGGAUGCAGAAAAUGCUUUCCAAGAGUUUCUCAAAUCCUGAAGCAUGGAUCUUUAUGCUACAGGAAUAAAUAAACAUUUCUCAUUGGCAAAAGUGUGUUGACUGUAAUGGUUCCUGUUUUCAUUAAUAAAAUAUGUUUGAGCCUAGUUACAAUGAUUUAAAAUUCGCAGUCUGGAAAUUGACUUUUGCACCAACCUAAUAUUUCGAUGGUAAAUCCUUGCAAACAUGGAAACUGCAUUUGGCCCAGUGCUUUGUGGUUGUGUAUUCUUCCUUUUUUUAAUAGAUGGCAUUGGCUGAGCAUAGUGGCUCACGCCUGUAAUCCCAGCACUUUGGGAGGGUGAGGUGGAUGGAUCACCUGAGGUCAGGAGUUCAAGACCAGCCUGGCCAGCAUGAUAAAACCCUAUCUCUACUAAAAAUAUAAAACAAAAUUGCUACACGUGGUGGCAGGCAUCUGUAAUUCCAGCUACUUUCGGAGGCUGCAACAGGAGAAUCAUUUGAACCCAGGAGGUGGAUGUUGCAGUGAGCUGAGAUGGCACCAUUGCACUCCAGCCUGGGUGACAAGUGAAAUUCUGUCUCAAAAAAAAAAAAAAAAAUAGUUGGUGUCUCGCUGUGUUGACCAGGCUGGUCUCGAACUCCUGGCCUCAAAUGAUCCUCCCAUCUUGGCCUCCCAAAGUGUUAGGAUUACAGGCGUGAGCCACCGCACCCUGCCUGGUUGUAUACUCCUUCAAAACUUAAGUUUUUAAUGUUAAAUGCUGCUUCUAGAUACAUUGUAAAAAUUCACCUAUCAAUGAGUUUUUUUAUUAAAAACAUUGCAAGUAUACUGGACUUUAAAUACUAAGCAAUAAUUAAGGCUUCGAUGUUGGUUUAUAGUUUUCUCAUUUCUUUCAUUUAAUAGCUCUGUAAAAUGAAGCAGUUACUUCCAUUUUCCUGAGGUGCAGAAACUGUGGCCCAGAUAAGUUGAGCGACCUGUACAGUGUUACAGGUCCAAUAAGUGAGACUGGGGCUCUGAUCUAGUCCCUUUGACAUUAAAGUUUGUGCGGUAAACCAGCUAUGUCAGUUUGCCACAUUUGUAAUAGUGUUCAAUAAAUUUUCACUUAAAGGUUUAAUAUUAAAAUAGUAGCAAGAAUUCAUAAUCUUAAUUGGCUUUAACAGCUUUUUUUCCCCUGAAAACAGAUGCAUAUGUACACAUGCACACAGAUUGCUUGCAAUACCAGCACAUAGGCCUUUGCACGUUGAAGUCAGCACUCCUGUGGUGCCUUUUUUGGGCGGGGGGCCGGGGGGGGGCUGGCUUUUUUGACUGCAAGUCUUUUUGGAUAGAACUUUAUAGUUAGAAAGUAGCUUUCUAACACUUGGAUGGGUUUUAUAGGCACAAAAAACAAGUCUUAUACUAGCUGUACUUUAUUUUUUGAGUUCUUAUUAAUGGGCAUCCACUUUUGCAUUGACAGUGGUUUCAAGAUUGCUUUAUCAGCCUUUAAAGGAUUCUUGGGCUAGGCGUGCACAUCAGAACUGCAAGGUCCUCUGUUUCUGAAGCAGUAAGCUUUGGGUGUCUCGCAUCAGCACUUUGACUGAGUUUCACAGGUAAUUCUGAUGCAUACUCCAGACCUGAACCACUGAUCAGUUUGAAACCUGCAUAACAAAGCCGAAAAAGUUUUGUUGCACCUUUUGAAAUACAGUUAACUCUUUUACCAUGCCGAAGAUUAUUCAUUCAGAGAGACAGGUCCUUGCUUUGGAGCGAUGAUAUAUAUCUGGCAGUACCCAGCCCUUGUGUGUGUGCAUUAGCUCAGCACCUGUCCACACUACAAGCCCCCGUAGGAUGUGCCUUGUCCUUCCCUGUUUCAGCCCUUAACACAAUACGUGGUAUAGAGUAUGUAGUGGGCAUUUGUUGAAUGAAUGCUUUUCCCAGUAGCAGUGUAUUCAUACAAUAUUAAUAAAAUUGUCCUCUGGUUUACAGAUAAAAGUGAAAGCACUAAGUGCCCAGUGAGUAAGACCCAGGUGUUCUUCCUCCACCCCUAGUGGUCCCCUGGGCAGGUCUUUUUUUUUUUGUGACACUCAUGUAGUCAAUCACUGAUUUAACUUGUCUGUGAACUUGACAGCAGGAACUGUUCCAUAGUUUCAUUAGCACAGAGUAAACAUGUUUGCCAUGCAAAGUUAUUUUGCAUCUGCAUUUAAGUGAUGUUGAGUCGAUGAAAAGUUUUGAUUAAGCAAUAGUUGUAGAUGUGCUAAGUUUUUCAAAUUACUAAUAUCAAGCGGAGAUUAUUUUUACUUGUAAAGGUAUUGCUUUUGUGAUAGCAUAAAUAAUGGUUUUCCUUUUUUGUAAUGUAAAUUAAUUGCUGGAAACUUUUGUAUUCCCAUAGACUGGGGAAGCUUAAUUGCCUUUAUGAGUACUUAUGUACAACUUUGUAUCAAAUUUUCUGUAAUAAUUUAUGCUUUAUUACUAUAUAUGUACUAAUAAUUUUAUCUGACUUCUGUUUAUAUCAUUUGUACAAUUACAUGGUUGUAAAAUAAACUUUUAAACCUCA
Molecule: long non-coding RNA, 3793 nt
Organism: Cercocebus atys (sooty mangabey)
Lineage: Eukaryota; Metazoa; Chordata; Mammalia; Primates; Cercopithecidae
Exons: 2
Source: RefSeq, a predicted model, not a curated record